AACCUCAGUUCGGAUUGAAGGCUGAAAUUCGCCUACAUGAAGCUGGAGUUACUAGUAAUCGCAGAUCAGAAUGCUGCGGUGAAUGCGUUCCCGGGUCUUGUACACACCGCCCGUCACACCACGGAAGUUGGGGGGCGCCCGAAGCCACUUAGCUAACCCAUUUGGGAAGCGAGUGUCGAAGGUGAAAUCAAUAACUGGGGUGAAGUCGUAACAAGGUACC
Molecule: ribosomal RNA, 220 nt
Filed under: uncultured bacterium
Lineage: Bacteria
Description: partial 16S ribosomal RNA
Rfam family: Bacterial small subunit ribosomal RNA
Source: RNAcentral